UUGAGAGAAUUCCUUAUUUGGCCCUUUCUUAAAUUCUUCUUCCCUAUUUGGCCCUAAAUAUUAUUUUUUUCCCUAUUUGACAUCUAAACUUCAUUUCCUUCCUAAUAUGGCCCUGUAGUGCAAUCUGAACACUAACGGUGUUAAAUGUGGUUGUAAAAUGACUCUUUUGCCCUUGAUGAAUUGUGGGAACAAAAGUUACUCUCUAGUGUGUGUGACAUAUUUAAGCCAAUAAAAACGUACCAGUAGCUCAAUAACUGUUGAAAGCAUCCAAAAUGGAACCAUUUUAUUUAACAGAUUGUAAUUUAAAGAAUAAAAAGAUUGGGCAGAACCUCCCCUAGAAUUUGACCAUUCUGAACACACAAUUAAGAUAUAUAUGCAUAGACAUUUUAUAACAAUGCAAUAUCAGUACUGAUCCUACAGUUUAUAUCAUAGUUGAGGUCUAGUCCAAAUACAUCACACGAUCAGGUCCAAAAGCACCUCCAGUUUCACUUAGUCUCACUUACAUCAUGUAUGUGAGAGGUAAAGUCCACAAAAAUCACAUGGCAAAGCAUAGAAGCACCUCUCAUUAGACACAGUACAUGAACAGAACACAUUAGAAUCACAAGCUGAGCCUUCUUUUGCUUCUUGUGCUCAUUGCAGGGCUAGCGGGGAUGAAAGUUUUGCUUCUUGUACUCAUUGCGGGGCUAUCAAGUGGCGCAGUAGGAAUCACAGUGGCAUCUUUCUUCUUUUUCUUAGCUUUUGCCUUCACAGGAAGGUUUUUCUCGCUGGGCAUUGGUUGGCUUGAGCUGGUUUUUAACCUGCAUCAUGCAUGUAUGGCAGCAGCGGUUAUACGGAUACAAAAUAGAAAAAACAAUGAAUAACAUGUGAAAUCAGACUAGUUGAUUACCUUUUAAAAGUUCCAGUACUAGAUUUUGGUGUAGCCUUUUCCUUUAUUGUUGUAGUUUCAAGGAUUUGGCUAUGGUUAGAAAGAAGCUAAUUAGAAUUCAAUGGAUGAAUCUCGAGCAUAAAUGUAAAAGAGAUCUCAAUGUAAAAUGACUUACGUAGGUGGAAAACACAUCCUAGUUGGUGCUUCAUCCACAUAUGGCACAAUGGUGCUCUUUACCUUCUUCUUUGGUGGCCCUCUGCAUUAGCAAUAAGAAAAGCAGUCAAUAUGUACAGUUGGUUCGAAAAUAAAUUAUACAAGAAAGAUUAAACCUAUACUACCUCACUUCCAACAUUGCAGCGAUGUCAUCUGGGUUACCCUUUUUACAAUUGUGCCAAUGAUGCCCAUAUCCCUUACAAAUAGGACAUAGGUGUUGGCCUGAUUUUCUUUUCUUCUCGCCACAGCCUUUAUACCUCUCGGUUUUAGGCCUACCAGCAGUGGCUUUUAGAAGUGGUGGAUGCAUAAAGAAUCCAUGAUCUGAUUUAGGCCAUUGGGUCUUGUCAGGCAUAGCGGGUAUUAGUUGGGCAUAUGCUGCUCUAAACUUGUUAGUGGAGUAAUACAAGUCAACAUAGUCCCGUAUAUGUGCAUUGCUAAGUGAUGUAAUGAAUGCAAGAGCAUGUUUGCAAGGAACGCCAGAAACUUGCCAUUGUCUACAAGAACAUGUCCUCUCUUGCAAGUUGACCACAAACCUAAAGCCGCUGCCUCCUAAUGCGGUCACUUCAGCCACUUCUUCCGAGCUCUGUACCACCUCCAAGUUUAAUUCUCUAGUCAUUGCAUUCAGCUUCUUAAUUAUGUGGGGCAGAAUUAGUCCAUCCAACUUCUUUCCCACAGUUCUCCUUUCGUUCCACUUGAUCAUCAAUAACUGUCGAGCCUUGUCCAUGAAGUCAUCCAAGUUCAAGGACUUGUGGUGCUUAAUCCAAUUGUUAAAACACUCUGCCAAGUUGUUGGUUACGUAGUCCACCUUGGAUAUUGUGGAGAACUGGCUCCUCGACCAUAGCCUAUUGUGCCACUUCUUUAUAUAUGCAGUUGCGGCUGGCUUUGCUGCCUCCAUUGCAACCCAAUGUUUGUCAAACAGAUACGGGUUCCAUGAGUAUGCAGCAGCCCAAAGGUGAUCAUCAAAAACCUUCCCGUGGAACUUCUUCUUGAAAUUGCUCACCAAGUGGAACAUACAUUCCCUAUGUUCAGCCUCUGGGAACACUUCUUUUACCCCUGCCAUCACUGCCUGGCCAGCAUCAGUGCAUAUGGCUAAACCAGUUGGUGAUCCUAUGGUCUGCCUAAGCAUUUGCAUAAACCAAAUCCAAUUUUCAUUUGUUUCGGAAUCAAAAAUUCCAAAACUAACUGGAUACAUCCAAUUAUGCCCAUCAACAGCGGUAGCACUAGCCAGCUGCCCCUUAAACUUUCCCGUCAAGAAUGUGCUAUCUACUGCCAAAUAUGGUCUACAACCAUUAAUGAACCCAUCUAUGCAAGGUUUCAAAGCAAUAAAAAUUCUUCUAAACCUGAUUUUACCAUUUAUUGUUUGAUGUUCACUCUGCACUGUGCUACCAGGAGAACAACUUUCAACUUGUGCCUUAAACCUAUAUAAGUUGUCAAAGCUGCUAUCCCAAUCACCAUAUAGUUGCUUCAAAGCUAGCAGCUUACCCAUAUAUACUCUCUUGUAAUGGAGUUUGACCUUGUAAUGUUCUUUAAGCUUCUGCUGCAAUGCCGUGGCUCCGAGAGUUGCAUCUUCAAUGAGCCAAUCCUUGACCUUCUCACAUAUCCAAUGCUUAGUUGCAUUCUUCACUUUCUUUUUCCUUGUUGUACUAGAGCAAUCAUGAUCACAAGGGUUUUUUCUCACCUACCAAACAAGAAUACAAUUAAUUAGUUUCAAACACUUACACAAUAUGAAACAAUGAAACAAUGUUCACAAUGAAACAAUGUAGGAUGAGAGUUAGACCAUUACCACUACAGUGCACAUAUCAUCUGUUGUGGAAGCAUAUAUCCUCCAUGGGCAUUUAUCUUCAUCCCUUCUUCUACAAUAGGCCCUAAACCUAUGUUGUGCACUUUUCUGAAUGUUGUAUUCAAAUUCAUAUUUGACUGCAUGCUGAGAAAGGGCCAACUUAAACUCAGCCAUAUUGGGAUACUUGGAACCUUCGGCCAUUGGAGGGUCUUCUUUAUUGUACUCUACAGUUGGCGCAUGCUCUGCCUCAUGCACCUCCUCGUCCUCCUCUAUUUCAGGCUCAUCCUCCUCUAUCUCACACUCAUCCUCGCUGCCAUACUCACUGUCAUCCUCGGGAACAUAUUCAGUGUCCUUGUCAUUAUCAAAAAAAAGAACCACAUUUA
Molecule: long non-coding RNA, 3241 nt
Filed under: Hordeum vulgare
Lineage: Eukaryota; Viridiplantae; Streptophyta; Magnoliopsida; Poales; Poaceae
Description: long non-coding RNA (HVUL_LNC005834)
Source: RNAcentral